CUAGCCGUAAACGAUGGGUACUAGGUGUGGGUGGUUUCGAUACCAUCCGUGCCGUAGUUAACGCAUUAAGUACCCCGCCUGGGGAGUACGUGCGCAAGCAUGAAACUCAAAGGAAUUGAC
This 120-nucleotide ribosomal RNA is filed under the name uncultured bacterium. Its description in RNAcentral is "partial 16S ribosomal RNA". It matches the Rfam family "Bacterial small subunit ribosomal RNA", at positions 796 to 914 of the family's 1533-position model. The record is from RNAcentral.